GAUCAUUAAAGUGUUUGAACCGCGAGGUUCUUCAUUCCAAAGCUGUGCGCUUUCGGGCUGCACGCCGAGGGAGACACCUUUCCACACCUGUGCACAUACACGGUGGUGGGUUUAAUUACUCGCCGCCGCUUCAUCACACACUUCUAUUAAGUUUUGUAUGUUGAACCUGUAUAAAAAAUACAACUUUCAGCAACGGAUCUCUUGGCUCUCGCAUCGAUGAAGAACGCAGCGAAAUGCGAUAAGUAAUGUGAAUUGCAGAAUUCAGUGAAUCAUCGAAUCUUUGAACGCACCUUGCGCCACGUGGUAUUCCACGGGGCACGCCUGUUUGAGUGUCACGUUAACCAUCGCGUCGUGGAUGUAACAGUCUACGGGGCGGAUUUGGAUGCUUGCCGCGUGAUGCGGCUCAUCUCGAAAUGCAUUAGCUGUCUGUGGACCGCACCGCCGGUGUAAUAAUUUCCUUUGCGCCUUUGGUGUGGACCGCUCGGGUGGCUUACAAUCGUCCGCGAGGACAACAAUCUUAAGCUUUGACCUCAAAUCAGGCGGGACUACCCGCUGAACUUAAGCAUAUCAAUAAGCGGAGGAAAAGAAACUAACAAGGAUUCCCCUAGUAACGGCGAGUGAARAGGGAAAAGCUCAAAUUUGAAAUCUGGCGGUCUUUGGCCGUCCGAGUUGUAAUUUAGAGAGGCGUCUUCCGCGUCGGACCACACACAAGUUCCCUGGAAUGGGACGUCACAGAGGGUGAGAAUCCCGUACGUGGUGUGGACUACCGAGGCUAUGUGAUGCGCCCUCGAAGAGUCGAGUUGUUUGAGAAUGCAGCUCAAAACGGGUGGUAAAUUCCAUCUAAAGCUAAAUAUUGGGGAGAGACCGAUAGCGAACAAGUACCGUGAGGGAAAGAUGAAAAGAACUUUGGAAAGAGAGUUAAACAGUACGUGAAAUUGCUGAAAGGGAAACGCUUGAAGUCAGUCGCGUCGUUCGGGAUUCAGCCUUGCUUUUGCUUGGUGUACUUCCUGUUCGACGGGUCAGCAUCAGUUUUGGCCGGUGGAUAAGGGCUCAGAGAAUGUGGCACCUUCGGGUGUGUUAUAGCUUUGGGUCGCAUACAUCGGCUGGGACUGAGGAACUCAGCACGCCGCAAGGCCGGGUUUCGACCACGU
Molecule: ribosomal RNA, 1151 nt
Filed under: uncultured fungus
Lineage: Eukaryota; Fungi
Description: eukaryotic LSU rRNA
Rfam family: Eukaryotic large subunit ribosomal RNA (bases 526-1151)
Source: RNAcentral